AUUGAACGCUGGCGGCAUGCCUUACACAUGCAAGUCGAACGGCAGCACGGGUGCUUGCACCUGGUGGCGAGUGGCGCACGGGUGAGUAAUACAUCGGAACAUGUCCUGUAUUGGGGGAUAGCACGGCGAAAGCCGGGUUAAUACCGCCUACUAACUACUGGUGACACCGGGGGACCUUCUGGCCUAGGGCUUUGGUGUUGGCCAAUGGUUGAUUAGCUAGUUGGUGGGGUAAAGGUCUACCAAGGCGACGAUCAGUAGCCGGUCUGAGAGGGCGACCAGCCACACUGGAACUGAGACACGGCCCAGACUCCUACGGGAGGCAGCAGUGGGGAAUUUUGGACAAUGGGCGAAAGCCUGAUCCAGCAAUGCCGCGUGUGUGAAGAAGGCCUUCGGGUUGUAAAGCACUGUUGUCCGGAAAGAAAUCCUUGGCACUAAUACGGUCGGGGGAUGACGGUACCGGAAGAAUAAGCACCGGCUAACUACGUG
This 486-nucleotide ribosomal RNA is filed under the name uncultured bacterium. RNAcentral describes it as "partial 16S ribosomal RNA". It matches the Rfam family "Bacterial small subunit ribosomal RNA", at positions 30 to 507 of the family's 1533-position model. The record is from RNAcentral.